Long non-coding RNA from Etheostoma cragini (Arkansas darter), 127 nucleotides. RefSeq lists it as uncharacterized. The record is from RefSeq and is a predicted model, not a curated record. The transcript has 4 exons. Lineage: Eukaryota; Metazoa; Chordata; Actinopteri; Perciformes; Percidae.
UUGGUUUUUGGACUACCGUUGUGAAGCCUCGAGUUUGGCAUUUUGGCCAUCGCAAUCUUGUUUUUAAGAGCCAGAAGUGGCCAUAUUUGGAUAAGAGGGUGGAGCUGGGGAGGAGCGCUAAACUAAA